This 325-nucleotide ribosomal RNA is filed under the name uncultured Rhodococcus sp. RNAcentral's name for it is "bacterial SSU rRNA". It matches the Rfam family "Bacterial small subunit ribosomal RNA", at positions 1061 to 1382 of the family's 1533-position model. The record is from RNAcentral. Lineage: Bacteria; Bacillati; Actinomycetota; Actinomycetes; Mycobacteriales; Nocardiaceae.
CGUGUCGUGAGAUGUGGUUAAGGUCCCGCAACGAGCGCAACCCUACUCUUAUGUUGUCAGCACGUUAUGGUGGGGACGUCGUAAGAGACUGCCGGGUCGAACUCGGAGGAAGGUGGGGACGGACGUCAAGUCAUCAUGCCCCUUAUGUCCAGGGCUUCACACAUGCUACAAUGGCCAGUACAGAGGGCUGCGAGACCGUGAGGUGGAGCGAAUCCCUUAAAGCUGGUCUCAGUUCGGAUCGGGGUCUGCAACUCGACCCCGUGAAGUCGGAGUCGCUAGUAAUCGCAGAUCAGCAACGCUGCGGUGAAUACGUUCCCGGGCCUUU